This 119-nucleotide small nuclear RNA is filed under the name Trichobilharzia regenti. RNAcentral describes it as "U5 spliceosomal RNA". It matches the Rfam family "U5 spliceosomal RNA". Rfam says of the family: U5 RNA is a component of both types of known spliceosome. The precise function of this molecule is unknown, though it is known that the 5' loop is required for splice site selection and p220 binding, and that both the 3' stem-loop and the Sm site are important for Sm protein binding and cap methylation. Lineage: Eukaryota; Metazoa; Platyhelminthes; Trematoda; Strigeidida; Schistosomatidae. The record is from Rfam by way of RNAcentral.
AAUCUCUGAUGUCUUCUCAUUUGCGGAUAAGUCUUUCGUCUUUUACUAAAGAUUUCCAUGGGAAAGCACAAUACAAUGAGUAUUAUCUCAUUUUUUACAGCUCUAUCUUCGAACAGAGU